CCUAGAAAAAAUCUAAGGUGAAACCUGCCCAAUGAUUUCAAAACAUAAAUUAAACGUUACAAAAGAAAUUUAAAGGACGCAGUAAUUUGACUGUGAUAAAGUAGCACAAUCACUUGCCAUUUAAUUGGUGGAUAGUAUGAAUGGUUAAACGAGUCCCACACUGUCUAAAAGAGAGAAAUCAUGAAAUUAGAAUAAUAGUCAAGAUGCUAUUUAAAAUUGUAAGACGAAAAGACCCUAUAGAGCUUAACUACCUUUCUCCUCUAAAAUAAAAAGAACACCCUAUAAAAUAGGGAGAAAGGUAGUUUAGUUGGGGCGACUACCUUCUAAAAAUAACGAAGGUAAGCUAAGUUAAUAAAAAACUUACUGUACAAUCAAUAAAUUUAACAGUUACCACAAUAGGCUAUAAUGACCCGUUAAAACCUAGUAAAAGGGUUAACGAUCAAUAAAUAAAAGUUACCUUAGGGAUAACAGGAUAAUCCUGCCUUAGAGACCUCAUCGAAGGCAAAGUUUAUCACCUCUAUGUUGAAUUAAGAUAUCCCAAUAGUGCAGCAACUAUUAAAGGUAGGUCUGUUCGACCUUUAAAAU
This 585-nucleotide ribosomal RNA is filed under the name Conopora cf. tetrastichopora AL-2008. RNAcentral's name for it is "partial 16S large subunit ribosomal RNA". It matches the Rfam family "Bacterial large subunit ribosomal RNA", at positions 1835 to 2594 of the family's 2925-position model. Lineage: Eukaryota; Metazoa; Cnidaria; Hydrozoa; Anthoathecata; Stylasteridae. The record is from RNAcentral.